Mangifera indica (mango) is the source of this 850-nucleotide RNA transcript. RefSeq lists it as uncharacterized. NCBI's taxonomy places the organism in Eukaryota, Viridiplantae, Streptophyta, Magnoliopsida, Sapindales, Anacardiaceae. The transcript is spliced from 5 exons. The record is from RefSeq and is a predicted model, not a curated record.
GUCCUUUGGCCUACUUAAAGUCUUAAGUUUAAGGGGUAUUUUCGGAAUUAUGAUCUGAAGCAUAACCGCCACCACAAACUCCAACGAUUCUCCCUGUAUACUCCACAAGAGCAAGCUUUCAUUCAUGGCUACCCAACUCUUCUUCACUCAAACUCCCGACCCUUCUCACCCACUUGUGAAAUUCCUAUAAAACUCCCAUAUAAUCCCUCUUUUUGUACUUCCAACCCUCACCAUCUCUUGUGGUUUAUGCUCCCUCAAGACUGUUUCAAGCUCCAAAGCUCGAUCAUCAUCAAUUGUUCACGCUUUGCAAGAAGAAGAAGUUAUUCAAGCUCCAAAUUUAGAUUCCUCAACUGCCCCUCCUUCGUCUUCCAAGCUUGUUCUUGUUGCUGGCGGCACUGCUGGUGUAGGUCAACUGAUAGUGGCACGGCUGCUUAGCCGGAAUAUCAAGGCAGAAAAAUUACAGUAAUUGUAUUGUAAAGAACUCUUGAAACUUGAUAUGUAUGUAAAGGGGACACUAGGAUCCAUCUAUAUUUCAGGAGAUAUACUUGUUGGAGAGGUCAGUAGACUUGCGGUUGCAGAAGCGUGCAUACAAGCACUUGACAGAGAAUUCACCGAAGGUGAGAUCUUCGAGAUCAACUUAGUUGAGGGGAAGGGUCCGGAAAUGAUCCCCAGAUAUGGCGACAACUGUUUAAAGCUGCCGAUGAUUGGCCUCAGAAUGUAUCACUGGAUUCAGGAGAUUAUGAUGUAUACAAAAAUAAGGCUUGUAAGUUCUACACAAUAAUGAUAAAUAUUGUACAUAUUAUAUUAUAUAAGGUUUGUGAUGGUAAACAGGGACAAAGCCAGGAAUUUA